GAAAUGCGAUAAGUAAUGUGAAUUGCAGAAUUCAGUGAAGCAUCGAAUCUUUGAACGCACAUUGCGCCCGCCAGUAUUCUGGCGGGCAUGCCUGUUCGAGCGUCAUUUCAACCAUCAAGCCCCCGGGCUUGUGUUGGGGACCCUGCGGCUGCCCGCAGGCCCUGAAAUGCAGUGGCGGGCUCGCUAUCCACACCGAGCGCUGUAGCAUCACACCUCGCUCAGGGCGUGCGUCGGGCUCCGGCCGUUAAACGCGACCUUAACGCAUACCAUGGUUGACCUCGGAUCAGGUAGGAAGACCAGCUGAACUGAA
RNAcentral lists this unclassified non-coding RNA (310 nucleotides) under uncultured Chaetomium. RNAcentral's name for it is "sequence contains ITS1". The stretch from base 1 to 105 matches the Rfam family "5.8S ribosomal RNA", at positions 50 to 154 of the family's 154-position model. The record is from RNAcentral. Lineage: Eukaryota; Fungi; Ascomycota; Sordariomycetes; Sordariales; Chaetomiaceae.